This 216-nucleotide ribosomal RNA is filed under the name uncultured bacterium. RNAcentral describes it as "partial 16S ribosomal RNA". It matches the Rfam family "Bacterial small subunit ribosomal RNA", at positions 524 to 734 of the family's 1533-position model. The record is from RNAcentral.
UACAGAGGUCCCCAAGCGUUGUUCGGAUUCACUGGGCGUAAAAGCGUGCGCAGGCGGUUAUGUAAGACAGGUGUGAAAAUCCCCGGGCGUUAACCUGGGAACGUGCGCUUGUGACUGCAUAACUCGAGUGUGGCAGAGGGGGGUGGAAUUCCACGUGUAGCAGUGAGAUGCGUAGAGAUGUGGAGGAACACCGAUGGCGAAGGCAGCCCCCUGGGU